CCUGGGGGCUGUGGCAGACAUUCAGACCCGCGUGCCCCGGGCCAGGCAUCUGGCCAUCGCCACUGCUGUGCACCAGCAGCUCUGCGAUGAGAUGGAGCCGCCCAGCCCAGAGCACAGAGCAGAGCUGUGCCGCUGCAUGGUGCUGCAGGCCCGAAUUUGCCCGGAGGAGACCAUCGAGUUCCUCUACUACAAGCUGAGGAACGGG
Dromaius novaehollandiae (emu) is the source of this 205-nucleotide long non-coding RNA. RefSeq lists it as uncharacterized. NCBI's taxonomy places the organism in Eukaryota, Metazoa, Chordata, Aves, Casuariiformes, Dromaiidae. The record is from RefSeq and is a predicted model, not a curated record. The transcript is spliced from 3 exons.